UAUCCGUUGUUACGUUGCCCGAAGACAGUAGUAAAUGUGAUUUGCAGGGUGCAAGCAACGUGUCAUUGUGGUUAGAAAAAAUGAAUCAGUAUACAUGUGAUUUAACUGUCAAAGCCGGAAUGUUUAAAGCAUACAUCCCGCCCAAGG
Molecule: long non-coding RNA, 147 nt
Organism: Rhipicephalus sanguineus (brown dog tick)
Lineage: Eukaryota; Metazoa; Arthropoda; Arachnida; Ixodida; Ixodidae
Exons: 3
Source: RefSeq, a predicted model, not a curated record